GAGGUGAUCUUUCCGCAUACAGAGUGAAGGCUGUCCGCAGCUGGAGUAUUUUAUUACCCUUGUCUUUUGCGCACUUGUUGUUUCCUGGGCGGGUUCGCUCGCCACCAGGACCACCAAAUAAACCUUUUUUAUGCAGUUGCAAUCAGCGUCAGUACAAACAAUGUAAAUCAUUUACAACUUUCAACAACGGAUCUCUUGGUUCUGGCAUCGAUGAAGAACGCAGCGAAAUGCGAUACGUAGUGUGAAUUGCAGAAUUCAGUGAAUCAUCGAAUCUUUGAACGCACAUUGCGCCCUUUGGUAUUCCAAAGGGCAUGCCUGUUCGAGCGUCAUUUGUACCCUCAAGCUUUGCUUGGUGUUGGGCGUUUUUGUCUUUGGUCGCCCAAAGACUCGCCUUAAAGUGAUUGGCAGCCGGCCUUUCUGGUUUCGCAGCGCAGCACAUUUUUGCGCUUGCCAUCAGCAAAACGGCAAUCCAUCAAGCCUCCUUCUCACGUUUGACCUCGGAUCAGGUAGGGAUACCCGCUGAACUUAAGCAUAUCAUUAAAGCGGAGGAAAUUCCGUAGGAAAACCUGUGGAGGCGUCCGCUCUGGAGGAUGAAUUACUUGUCUUUGCCAUUGUUGUUUCGGGCGGUUCUCCACCGCACAAAAACUUUUUUUGGGGCAUCGCCCACAAGGAAAUUCACUCAGGUCUGGGUUGGUUAAUAAAACAAAAAU
This 710-nucleotide ribosomal RNA is filed under the name Bipolaris sp. B33-61. Its description in RNAcentral is "eukaryotic LSU rRNA". The stretch from base 176 to 329 matches the Rfam family "5.8S ribosomal RNA". The record is from RNAcentral. Lineage: Eukaryota; Fungi; Ascomycota; Dothideomycetes; Pleosporales; Pleosporaceae.